Molecule: ribosomal RNA, 440 nt
Filed under: uncultured bacterium
Lineage: Bacteria
Description: partial 16S ribosomal RNA
Rfam family: Bacterial small subunit ribosomal RNA
Source: RNAcentral
CCUACGGGAGGCAGCAGUGGGGAAUAUUGCACAAUGGGGGAAACCCUGAUGCAGCGACGCCGCGUGAGUGAAGAAGUAUUUCGGUAUGUAAAGCUCUAUCAGCAGGGAAGAAAAUGACGGUACCUGACUAAGCAGCCCCGGCUAACUACGUGCCAGCCGCCGCGGUAAUACGGAGGGGGCAAGCGUUAUCCGGAUUUACUGGGUGUAAAGGGAGCGUAGACGGCAGCACAAGUCUGGAGUGAAAUGCCGGGGCUUAACCCCGGAACUGCUUUGGAAACUGUGCAGCUAGAGUGCAGGAGAGGUAAGUGGAAUUCCUAGUGUAGCGGUGAAAUGCGUAGAUAUUAGGAGGAACACCAGUGGCGAAGGCGGCUUACUGGACUGUAACUGACGUUGAGGCUCGAAAGCGUGGGGAGCAAACAGGAUUAGAUACCCCAGUAGUC